AUGGCCGCCGCCGCUGAGCUCCCAGCCUCUGGCAGCCCCUGCUGCGAGUCUGGCGCCCUGCUUCUUCCUUGUCAUCGGCGAGCCACGCCGUCACUGACCACAGCAAGGCCGCCGCUCCGGCCAAGUUCCUUGUCAGAUCCGGCGACCUUCGCCUUGAACCCGCCGUCUCCGUCCCGUUCUGGGCUUGCUCCGCGCAGCUCCUCCCCUGCCAUGGCUUUCCUCCUCCAGCGACGCGCCUCCGCCGCUCGCGACCAUGGCCGUUGCUGCACACGCACGUCGCCCACCCUACCUCCUUGUCCUGCUCCUCGCUAUGGGCGUCUGGCGACCUCCCCUUCCCCUGCUCCUCCUCACCGUGUGCCCGAGGUCCAUGGCACCUCCAGCCUCCAGGAGCUUCGCCUCCCUUGCUCCACGCCAAGGGCGAUGGCUUCAUGGGAAAGUCCUCUCCGACAAUUGUACGAGUACACAGUGUCGCGUCCAGUACCUCUACCGGCGUCUUCGAAAUCGCCAAGUCCGGUGAUACGCCAAGUACCCCUAUCGACGGCCUCGAACAUCUACAAAAGUGUAUGA
RNAcentral lists this ribosomal RNA (567 nucleotides) under Triticum aestivum (bread wheat). Its description in RNAcentral is "partial small subunit ribosomal RNA". The record is from RNAcentral. Lineage: Eukaryota; Viridiplantae; Streptophyta; Magnoliopsida; Poales; Poaceae.